This 497-nucleotide ribosomal RNA is filed under the name uncultured bacterium. RNAcentral describes it as "partial 16S ribosomal RNA". It matches the Rfam family "Bacterial small subunit ribosomal RNA", at positions 28 to 507 of the family's 1533-position model. The record is from RNAcentral.
GAUGAACGCUGGCGGCGUGCCUAAUACAUGCAAGUCGAGCGAACAGAUGAGGAGCUUGCUCCUCUGACGUUAGCGGCGGACGGGAGAGUAACACGUGGAUAACCUACCUAUAAGACUGGGAUAACUUCGGGAAACCGGAGCUAAUACCGGAUAAUAUAUUGAACCGCAUGGUUCAAUAGUGAAAGACGGUUUUGCUGUCACUUAUAGAUGGAUCCGCGCCGCAUUAGCUAGUUGGUAAGGUAACGGCUUACCAAGGCAACGAUGCGUAGCCGACCUGAGAGGGUGAUCGGCCACACUGGAACUGAGACACGGUCCAGACUCCUACGGGAGGCAGCAGUAGGGAAUCUUCCGCAAAGGGCGAAAGCCUGACGGAGCAACGCCGCGUGAGUGAUGAAGGUCUUCGGAUCGUAAAACUCUGUUAUUAGGGAAGAACAAAUGUGUAAGUAACUAUGCACGUCUUGACGGUACCUAAUCAGAAAGCCACGGCUAACUACGUG